GACGAACGCUGGCGGCGUGCCUAAUACAUGCAAGUCGAACGAACUCUGGUAUUGAUUGGUGCUUGCAUCAUGAUUUACAUUUGAGUGAGUGGCGAACUGGUGAGUAAUACGUGGGAAACCUGCCCAGAAGCGGGGGAUAACACCUGGAAACAGAUGCUAAUACCGCAUAACAACUUGGACCGCAUGGUCCGAGCUUGAAAGAUGGCUUCGGCUAUCACUUUUGGAUGGUCCCGCGGCGUAUUAGCUAGAUGGUGGGGUAACGGCUCACCAUGGCAAUGAUACGUAGCCGACCUGAGAGGGUAAUCGGCCACAUUGGGACUGAGACACGGCCUAAACUCCUACGGGAGGCAGCAGUAGGGAAUCUUCCACAAUGGACGAAAGUCUGAUGGAGCAACGCCGCGUGAGUGAAGAAGGGUUUCGGCUCGUAAAACUCUGUUGUUAAAGAAGAACAUAUCUGAGUGUAACUGUUCAGGUAUUGACGGUAUUUAACCAGAAAGCCACGGCUAACUACGUGCCAGCAGCCGCGGUAAUACGUAGGUGGCAAGCGUUGUCCGGAUUUAUUGGGCGUAAAGCGAGCGCAGGCGGUUUUUUAAGUCUGAUGUGAAAGCCUUCGGCUCAACCGAAGAAGUGCAUCGGAAACUGGGAAACUUGAGUGCAGAAGAGGACAGUGGAACUCCAUGUGUAGCGGUGAAAUGCGUAGAUAUAUGGAAGAACACCAGUGGCGAAGGCGGCUGUCUGGUCUGUAACUGACGCUGAGGCUCGAAAGUAUGGGUAGCAAACAGGAUUAGAUACCCUGGUAGUCCAUACCGUAAACGAUGAAUGCUAAGUGUUGGAGGGUUUCCGCCCUUCAGUGCUGCAGCUAACGCAUUAAGCAUUCCGCCUGGGGAGUACGGCCGCAAGGCUGAAACUCAAAGGAAUUGACGGGGGCCCGCACAAGCGGUGGAGCAUGUGGUUUAAUUCGAAGCUACGCGAAGAACCUUACCAGGUCUUGACAUACUAUGCAAAUCUAAGAGAUUAGACGUUCCCUUCGGGGACAUGGAUACAGGUGGUGCAUGGUUGUCGUCAGCUCGUGUCGUGAGAUGUUGGGUUAAGUCCCGCAACGAGCGCAACCCUUAUUAUCAGUUGCCAGCAUUAAGUUGGGCACUCUGGUGAGACUGCCGGUGACAAACCGGAGGAAGGUGGGGAUGACGUCAAAUCAUCAUGCCCCUUAUGACCUGGGCUACACACGUGCUACAAUGGAUGGUACAACGAGUUGCGAACUCGCGAGAGUAAGCUAAUCUCUUAAAGCCAUUCUCAGUUCGGAUUGUAGGCUGCAACUCGCCUACAUGAAGUCGGAAUCGCUAGUAAUCGCGGAUCAGCAUGCCGCGGUGAAUACGUUCCCGGGCCUUGUACACACCGCCCGUCACACCAUGAGAGUUUGUAACACCCAAAGUCGGUGGGGUAACCUUUUAGGAACCAGCCGCCUAAGGUGGGACAGAUGAUUAGGGUGAAGUCGUAACAAGGUAGCCGUAG
Molecule: ribosomal RNA, 1512 nt
Filed under: Lactiplantibacillus argentoratensis
Lineage: Bacteria; Bacillati; Bacillota; Bacilli; Lactobacillales; Lactobacillaceae
Description: partial 16S ribosomal RNA
Rfam family: Bacterial small subunit ribosomal RNA
Source: RNAcentral